This is a long non-coding RNA of Panicum virgatum (switchgrass), 995 nucleotides long. RefSeq lists it as uncharacterized. Lineage: Eukaryota; Viridiplantae; Streptophyta; Magnoliopsida; Poales; Poaceae. The transcript is spliced from 3 exons. The record is from RefSeq and is a predicted model, not a curated record.
GACGGAUGGCGCGCGGGGCUCGGCUCGUUUCCUCACGCAGCGUGGCUCGGCUCAGCGGCAGCGCCCGGCUCUGUUUUCUUCGCUCUCUUUUUUUUUCGGAGCUCUGGAGAUGCGCCGCAGAUCCAUUGCCGGAGCCGCCGCAGUUCCCAUCACCAGAGCCGCCGCGUCCCCUGCUCCCGGCGGUGCCACCGCUCCCGCGCGCCCGAGCCGGCUCCUCCCCGUCGCCCGUCACAUCUGCCUCCCCGCCGGGCCGGCCUCCCCGUCGACCACGCUGACUCCGCCCGGCGGCCCAGCGCCGCGUCGGCCGCGGCUGCUUCCCUCCGCCACUGCUGCCCCGCCCGCAGCCGGGCGUGGCCGCUGCUGCCUCCCCGUCCAGCUGCCAUCCCUGUCCGCCAUCUGUUUGCUGCCUUUGUUUGCCGAAUUGGUGCCUUCCAUUGAUGUGGUUCCAAGUUCAGGUUACCAAGCAGUUACCUCCAGCUGGGAAGCGGGAGGCAUGAGGCACCCAACGCAUUGGCCAAGAUGGUGGUGACACCAUGAAGUCUGUCCGUCGGCAAGGAAGAGAGAAGAAUGUAACUGGCCCGACAUGACAUGAACUAGGGACGCGGCAGCGAUGAAGCCUCUUGUGCCAGUCUAUAUGAUAUUGGUGAAGAUUUAUUUUUCUCGUGCCUCUGUUUGCUACCUCUGUUUGCUGAAUUGGCCAGGUCCAUUGAUGUGGUUCCAAGUUUAGGUAACAAUGGAUCACAGAUUUUUGGCAUAGGCAGCAUGUCCUUGUCGCCUGUGUCUUGGUUGCUGGUCACAAUCAGAUGUUCAAUUGUUCAACUUAUGACUGCAAAUUGUGUCUUAGUUGUUAGUUAAAUUUUACAUGAUUGAUCACUUCAGACAUGAUGAGGCAGGCUAACAGUCUGAUGUAUAUAGUGUAGGUUUCAAAUUGUACAAUGUAUGGAUGUACUACAAAAGAGAGAUUAUUCUGAAAUAAAUAUGGUUGUUCUUGAACA